UUAGUUAGUUGGUGAGGUAAUGGCUCACCAAGACGAUGAUACGUAGCCGACCUGAGAGGGUGAUCGGCCACAUUGGGACUGAGACACGGCCCAAACUCCUACGGGAGGCAGCAGUAGGGAAUCUUCCGCAAUGGACGAAAGUCUGACGGAGCAACGCCGCGUGAGUGAAGAAGGUUUUCGGAUCGUAAAACUCUGUUGUCAGAGAAGAACAAGUUGGAGAGUAACUGCUCCAGCCUUGACGGUAUCUGACCAGAAAGCCACGGCUAACUACGUGCCAGCAGCCGCGGUAAUACGUAGGUGGCAAGCGUUGUCCGGAUUUAUUGGGCGUAAAGCGAGCGCAGGCGGUUCCUUAAGUCUGAUGUGAAAGCCCACGGCUCAACCGUGGAAGGUCAUUGGAAACUGGGGAACUUGAGUGCAGAAGAGGAGAGUGGAAUUCCAUGUGUAGCGGUGAAAUGCGUAGAUAUAUGGAGGAACACCAGUGGCGAAGGCGACUCUCUGGUCUGUAACUGACGCUGAGGCUCGAAAGCGUGGGGAGCAAACAGGAUUAGAUACCCUGGUAGUCCACGCCGUAAACGAUGAGUGCUAAGUGUUGGAGGGUUUCCACCCUUCAGUGCUGCAGCUAACGCAUUAAGCACUCCGCCUGGGGAGUACGGCCGCAAGGCUGAACUCAAAGGAAUUGACGGGGACCCGCACAGCGGUGGGAGCAUGUGGUUUAAUUCGAAGCAACGCGAAGAACCUUACCAGGUCUUGACAUCCUUUGACAAUCCUAGAAGAUAGGACUUUCCCUCGGGGACAAAGUGACAG
Molecule: ribosomal RNA, 804 nt
Filed under: uncultured bacterium
Lineage: Bacteria
Description: bacterial SSU rRNA
Rfam family: Bacterial small subunit ribosomal RNA
Source: RNAcentral